AGUGUUUCAUGAUGGCUCAGAUUGAACGCUGGCGGCAUGCCUCAUACAUGCGAGUCGAACGGUAACAUAGGAGCUUGCUCCUGAUGACGAGUGGCGGACGGGUGAGUAAUGCAUAAGAAUCUGCCUAUUAGCGGGGGACAACGUGUGGAAACGCACGCUAAUACCGCAUACAUCCUACGGGGAAAAGGUUGCCUCUUCAUGAAAGCAAUCGCUAAUAGAUGAGCUUAUGUCAGAUUAGCUAGUUGGUAGGGUAAGAGCCUACCAAGGCGACGAUCUGUAGCCGGCCUGAGAGGGUGAACGGCCACACUGGGACUGAGACACGGCCCAGACUCCUACGGGAGGCAGCAGUAGGGAAUAUUGGACAAUGGGGGCAACCCUGAUCCAGCAAUGCCGCGUGUGUGAAGAAGGCCUGCGGGUUGUAAAGCACUUUCAGUAGGGAGGAAAUACUUAAAGUUAAUAGCUUUAAGAGUUGACGUUACCUACAGAAGAAGCACCGGCUAACUCUGUGCCAGCAGCCGCGGUAAUACAGAGGGUGCGAGCGUUAAUCGGAAUUACUGGGCGUAAAGGGUACGUACGCGGCUACUUAAGUCUGAUGUGAAAUCCCCGUGCUUAA
RNAcentral lists this ribosomal RNA (613 nucleotides) under uncultured bacterium. RNAcentral describes it as "bacterial SSU rRNA". It matches the Rfam family "Bacterial small subunit ribosomal RNA", at positions 8 to 612 of the family's 1533-position model. The record is from RNAcentral.